CGCACCGGCCGGGCGGCGCCGCGCACCUGUGAUCCUGCCCACGCGGCCGCCCAGCCUCCUGCCCGCCUCUGCCGCCGCGUGCGCGCCCAGGCUGUGGCCGAUCAGAUUCAACGUUGGGCAAGUACUGAACUUCUUUGUGCCUUAGUUUGCUCAUCUAUAAAAUGGGAACAUAGCUAUACCUUCCUCACUCUACCUGCACGGUGUCAGGUUCAUGAAACAUCAUCCGGAGAACGGGCCCUUAGGCUUCCCCAGAUGCUGAAGAGAUCUCUGGCCCCGAAAAGAUGAAGAACUCAUGCACCCAGAAGUACCGGGCUUGAAGGCGAGGUUCAGCUCCGUGGAGCCCUGAGGGGCAUCUCAAGCCCCUCAGGAAGGAUUUAUACUUCCACACCUCUACCCAACUGAGGGGCUUCUCUCCUUCCACUGCCUGGUGCAGAAAGAAGACAGACCCUCCCAGGGAACACCAGGCCUGGGCUUCUCCAUAAAUGCUGCUUUCCCAGGAACAGGCUGCUGAUGCAGGGAAGCUCCUGAGGUUCUAUGCACAAGUGUGUGUGAAUGUGUUAGUUUCUGGUUUGGGCGUCCAUAGAUUUCAUUACAUGUGCAUAAUGGUUUAUGAUCCUGAGAGCUAGGAUGGCUGCGGGUCUAACAUUGGUGGGGAAGCAUCACCUGCAAAGUUUCAAGGCAGUGCAUUUUUCCUUAGACAACCAUGUGAAGGGUCCAACAUGGGCGCCCACAUCUGCCCACCUUACGGCGUUUCCGUCCCACACUUACUUGGAAGUUGUUGGGAUUCUCAUUUGUGUACAGAAGAAAGCGAGUGUUGAUGUCCUUGGGAUUCCAGGGAAAUAACUUGAAAGGCCGCUGAAGGGUCCCACUCCAUGGUUUGUCAUCGGGAAAGCAGCCAAGAUGUCCAUAACAGAUCUCCUUUCCUGGGGCAGGAAGAGCAACCAACAGGGCACUCGUGGGGUUCUGGAAAAGAGCACUGUAUUCUCAACUACACAAGAGGAUUCUUCAGGAUGAGCCCGGGCUGGCUAUGGCCAACGCUGGUCUUCAUCUUUGCCAGUCAUUGUUCCCCAAACUUCCUGGUUAUAGGGAGUCACCUGGGGGCUGGGAGUGACUGUGUGUCAUGUACACCAUUGUCCCCAGGCUCCUCCCUCAGAGGUUCUGAUUCAGAGGAUCUAGGGUGGGGUGCUGGGAAUAGCAUGCGUAAUGCUGUUUGACCCUUAUCAUCCCACCUGUGGGGGAAUCACUGAGAAUUCCUGGGACCCUUCUGCCUUAAAACUACUUCUUCCAGGAAACUCCCAGAUGGCCUUGGAUGUAUAUUCAUCAAGCAUCAGGUAUUUAUCAGGUGUGAUAUCUGUGACACGGUACUUCUUGAGUCACCUUCCUCUCUCCAUUACAUCAACUACCGGCCAUGCAUUCGUGGGUAGCUGCCCAGUUCACAUAACUUCAUGUCACCCUUUUGCACACACUUUUGCCCCAAAUUAUUCUCUGCCAUUUCAGAUUUUCCCUGUUGUUCUUUGGAAAGGUAGAUUUUUAAAGAACAGAGAUGAUUUAUUUUUGCAUCAGUACAUGCAACUAGCCGAUGGACCCAAGUGACCAUAAGUGCCCGGCCUUUCUCUAAUCUACAACACGAACAUUUCCACAAUGAAUUGUCACUGAGGAUGACAUAAUCGCAUCUGGGGGAUUGCAAUGGGUCUCUCUUCUAGGCUUCCUCACCUCCUAAACUGGUGUUGCCAAAUGUUGACCAUUCAUUGAAAAGCUGGUAAGAGUUAACACUUGUUUCCUGUGUGCCAGAUAGCAUGCUAGCACUUUACCAGGAUUAUCCCAUUUAAGACUCAAAACAGCCCCACGAGUAAGGAGUUUGUAUUAUUACACCCAUUUUACAGAUGAGGAAACCAAGGCAUAGAGAGACAGAGCAAGUAGCUCGAGGUCACAGCCAGUGGUGAAGCCAGGAUUUAAACCUGUAAAGUUUAAUUGGGAACAUAGCUAGGAUAGCUAGGUGCUGAGGAGAUAUGGAGACAGAUCAGAUUAAACCCUGCCCUGAAAAAGAGAGAGAGAGAGAGAGAGAGAGAGAGAGGAAAUCUAACAGGGAAGGAGUAAUGAUGGAGUGAAAUUCACACUGGAAAGACAAAAGAUGAAAAUGAUGCUUGCCUCUGGUGGCAAAUGCAGGG
Canis lupus familiaris (dog) is the source of this 2168-nucleotide long non-coding RNA. RefSeq lists it as uncharacterized. NCBI's taxonomy places the organism in Eukaryota, Metazoa, Chordata, Mammalia, Carnivora, Canidae. The record is from RefSeq and is a predicted model, not a curated record. The transcript is spliced from 4 exons.